Molecule: small nuclear RNA, 24 nt
Filed under: Arabidopsis thaliana (thale cress)
Lineage: Eukaryota; Viridiplantae; Streptophyta; Magnoliopsida; Brassicales; Brassicaceae
Description: snRNA_03315
Source: RNAcentral
AAUAAGAAACAAGUUAGUUCUUCA